RNAcentral lists this long non-coding RNA (507 nucleotides) under Mus pahari (shrew mouse). RNAcentral describes it as "lncRNA (MGP_PahariEiJ_G0004649.1)". Lineage: Eukaryota; Metazoa; Chordata; Mammalia; Rodentia; Muridae. The record is from RNAcentral.
ACUCAGGGCAAAAUGUGAAAUUCUCUUUCUAGGCUGAAUCGUUGAGAAAGGCUGGUUGAACAACGAAGAUCAUUUGGAGAGCCAAGCCAUUGCUCCGUGUUUAUCAAAUUCCAAGGGGGUGAUAAUCACAAAGACCUAUUGCAUGAUUUGUUAUGCCUAUUGACCGUCAUGCCUGUAUGUACCUAUGCCCACGUACGCCUGUGAGUUCAGAAUAGGGCACUGGAGCCCCUGGGACUGGAGUAACAGAUGCUUUUGACAGCUGCACCUUCGAGCCAUCUCGCCAGCCCCAUGAAUCCAAGCUCUUCCACUGCUGAAACAACAUUCAGAAUGUGGAGCUGGGGAGUUGGCUCGGUGGUUAAGAGCACUUGUUGCUCCUGCAUAGAAUGUGGAGUUCAAUUCCCAGCACCCACAUGGCAGCUCUGUUAUUCCAGUCUCCAAGAGCUAUGGUGUCCUCUUCUGGCCUUUGCGGCCCAUGCACAGGAUGCAGACAUACAUCCAUACACAUUU